Molecule: RNA transcript, 1541 nt
Organism: Ornithodoros turicata
Lineage: Eukaryota; Metazoa; Arthropoda; Arachnida; Ixodida; Argasidae
Exons: 6
Source: RefSeq, a predicted model, not a curated record
CUCACUCGAGGCAAGGCGGGUCGUUUUUUUGAAUAGAUGCCGAUUCCCCCCUUACUUCACGUUUUCGGAAGGAGCACAGAAUCCACGGCUACAUUCGCAGAAAAUGACACGUUUGAUCCUGCACUCCACCUCCCAAGUUGUCAUCGGAAUGUUUUGCGGCACGACCUCCGAACCACCUGUUGAUAUUUCUUUCCAAAUUUAAAAAUAUUUUGACCUCACACACAUUCAAGGUAAGUUCAUAAUCUAUAAAUAGACAUUCUGAUGCAUUCCAGAGAUCAAUUUCACCUUAUUUCCCAAUUCCUUUCGUCACUCACCCCACAAAUUUCGCUGCAUGGCUCAUUUUCGAAGCGCUUGCCCAUUUCCUUGAAAUGUUAAAAAUAUCUCUACCUCACUCAGGCUCAAGAAAAGUUCACGUUUUGGUAAGUAGAAACCCUGAAUCCAGAAAUGAAUUUCACCUUACUCACUCCAUUUUUUGUUCACAUAAUGGACACAUUUUGGAAAUACUGCUCCUGUCCUAAGCAGUCUUACAUGCGAAAUUUGUACUAAAAAUAUUUCAACCCCACUCAGGCCAAGGGCGUAUCAUCUCUCCGAACCACCUGCCGAUGUUUCUUUCCAAUGUUCAAAAUAUUUUUACCUCACACACAUUCAAGGAUUCCAUUUGUGCAGCCCAAGUCUAUAAAAGAGAGAGGUCAAACAACAGCAAUGAUGCCUGAGGUGCCUGUUUGCCCCACAUGAACACCAACAGUGUAAAACUAUCAACUUUGAGGACUACGAAUCAGUCAAGAUUAUUCGUAAUAGUGAAAGCGGCACACUUCAUCGGGUGACACCUCUAGAGUGAACACCGCAAAUUAUAGGACUUCAUAUGUUCCUGUCAUCCACUACAAUGGUCCAAGUGUUUCACAAUGUAGGCAACGUGCAAGAAAAAAAAUGACCAUUGGCGGCCUGCAAAGGCGUGACAGUUAGUCAGUUGUAACGGCAGUGGCCACGCGUGGAGCCAGAAAUGUGCGCUCGCUUGUAUGUUGAGGAAGCCAUCUCCUCCUGAUGGUCCUGAGGUUGAGGAAGUCUCCUCUACUAGAGGAGUAAGAACACACCAUGUGACGCCAUCGAGAACAUUCCACCUCUCCAGCAUCCUUUCCGUCCUGUGCGAGUAUCACCGUCUCUGUCGUGAGAAACACUGUAGGGGCACAGAGUCUUGGUAGCACCCAUCUAAGCCCUACACAGCCACAUCCCCCAUUCCCUGACACACUUCCUUUGCCAGCAGCAACAUUAGCAAGGGUGAAGCAAGUUCCUUAACUGGCUUAAAACUGUACUACAAUGCAACUUCAGCUACUGUGCAAUAAAUCCUCGACUCCAAUGACUAACGCGUCUAUCUACAAGACAACUUUAGCCCCACACCAUUACAUUGUUGAUUGGUAUGAGUUAAGGAAUCCUAAUUGAAUUUUUUAGUGUACCGGAUUCAGUGUGCAGAGAAACUGUUGUCUAAGAUUGUGAAAUGUAAAAACAUGUGUAUAGUUCAAAAUAAAUGAUAUACAAUGUGAAAA